Molecule: ribosomal RNA, 360 nt
Filed under: uncultured Anoxybacillus sp.
Lineage: Bacteria; Bacillati; Bacillota; Bacilli; Caryophanales; Anoxybacillaceae
Description: bacterial SSU rRNA
Rfam family: Bacterial small subunit ribosomal RNA
Source: RNAcentral
GGGGGACAGGGUGACAGGUGGUGCAUGGUUGUCGUCAGCUCGUGUCGUGAGAUGUUGGGUUAAGUCCCGCAACGAGCGCAACCCUCGACCUUAGUUGCCAGCAUUCAGUUGGGCACUCUAAGGUGACUGCCGGCUAAAAGUCGGAGGAAGGUGGGGACGACGUCAAAUCAUCAUGCCCCUUAUGACCUGGGCUACACACGUGCUACAAUGGGCGGUACAAAGGGUCGCGAACCCGCGAGGGGGAGCCAAUCCCAAAAAGCCGCUCUCAGUUCGGAUUGCAGGCUGCAACUCGCCUGCAUGAAGCCGGAAUCGCUAGUAAUCGCGGAUCAGCAUGCCGCGGUGAAUACGUUCCCGGGCCUU